RNAcentral lists this unclassified non-coding RNA (30 nucleotides) under Mus musculus (house mouse). RNAcentral describes it as "oocyte_clustered_small_RNA6301". Lineage: Eukaryota; Metazoa; Chordata; Mammalia; Rodentia; Muridae. The record is from RNAcentral.
UAUGCAAACCUUCAGACAGACUCUUCUCAU